CUCUUUUUUCUUUAACAGAACCCUAUGGCGGCCUCAGACAAGAAAGCUUUGGAGCACAAGAAGGAGAUCGCUAAACGAUUGGGUCGUCCUCAACUUGUCGACGACAGUUCAAUAAUUAUUGCCACUGUAUACAAUAACAUAUCACCUCCAUCCUUAAGAUGAGUAAAUUUAAGAAUAACAGAUCAAAAUCUCGAUUUCAAUAAUUUUGUAAACAACUUAAAUUUACUGUGAUAAUUAAUUUCAUCGGAUGCUUACAGCUUGUCAUAUUAUUCAAGCCACGGUUUAAGAAGCUAUGCCCUAAAUCUCGAUUUCAGAUGAACGAUUUGAUUUUCAAUCGUUAUAUUCAAAAUCUCACUACCGACUGAAUGUGUUCAGAGAAGAAGAAGAAGCCCGAUUCGAUUUGAUUUUCAAUCGUUCCCUAAAUCUCGACUUCAGAUGAACGAUUUGAUUUUCAAUUGUUAUAUUCGAAAUCUCACCACCGACUGAAUGUAUUCGGAGAAGAAGAAGAAGCCCAAUUGGAUUUGAUUUUCAAUCGUUCCCUAAAUCUCGAUUUCAGGUUGAAUGAUCUUUUAAUGGGUUACUGAUCUCAUACAAUUCAGCAUCAAGAUCAUCGCCAAAUAAUUUUUUUGGACAGUUUGGAAAUAUAUUUGUAUGACAAGAAGAUAUUGAAGGAUUUGUGUUUUUCUUUUUUUCUUCAUAAACAUUGGUUUUUGAUUUCUGGGUUUCCGAAGCAAUAUAAGGUUUCAGUUAGAGCCGCAAUCUCUGUAUCUUCACGAUGUAUGGAUCUCUGACCCGCACAUGCUUUUACAUGUUUUUGGCAUCGUUCAGGCCCCUUACAUAUUCAGAAAUUCUGAAGAUGCUUUAGUUAUGGGGCCUUUUGGAUUUUGAUGUGAAAAUAUUCUUCCCCCAUGAUUUUCAUAGUCUUCCUUCAGGCUACCAUAAACAAAAAAAAAGCAUACUAUUGGAUUGAAGCUGAAAUCAUAUUAAAAAAAUAUCAACCAAGAUUUUUAUUACAUGUCGUGUGAUUUAUGUAAUAAGAAACUUAUGUUCUACAACGACAAUGAAGAAACAGAUUGUGAAAAUCCAAAAUGCGGAAAAAGAUGUCUUCCUACACCACGUGCAAGGACAUAUGUACAACUCGACUGGUACUGAUUUGCUAUAUGCUGUGAUGUUCGGUGAUGCUGCAGAAAACAUAAUCUCAUGUACUGCAGUUCAAUUAAAAUUAUAUUCGGAUGAGGUUGUUUGUCCAAAAAAUUACGGAGCAAUUAUCAGCCAAAAAAUGGAGAAUUCAGUUGUAUGUAGAUCCAAAACGAACAAUGAGUUCAAAGUACAAUUAAUUCACCAUUCAAGCAGCUGAACCAAUGAAAGAUUAAGAAGAAGUUUCACUAUACUCUUUUUAAUUUUUCUAAUAAUAUUCCAUAUUUUUUUUAAUACUUUUUUCUUCUAUUUUAAGAUCUUUAAAUUCUGCAAAACUUAUAUCUUGUUCCUCUCAAUUUUCUAUUAGUAAAUAAUAAGUAUUAUUUUGUUAUGACUUAUA
This is a long non-coding RNA of Cannabis sativa, 1537 nucleotides long. RefSeq lists it as uncharacterized. NCBI's taxonomy places the organism in Eukaryota, Viridiplantae, Streptophyta, Magnoliopsida, Rosales, Cannabaceae. The record is from RefSeq and is a predicted model, not a curated record. The transcript is spliced from 7 exons.